Molecule: long non-coding RNA, 1507 nt
Filed under: Musa acuminata (dwarf banana)
Lineage: Eukaryota; Viridiplantae; Streptophyta; Magnoliopsida; Zingiberales; Musaceae
Description: long non-coding RNA (MACU_LNC010635)
Source: RNAcentral
AUAGUUCGAGCUCCCCUCUGCCCCUCCUACGCACAACGGUAUUACCGGUCGCUUCCUCGGAGUCGAAGCAAUCUCCGCCGCUGCGAAUGGAGAACACCGGAGACGACGGAGCCCAUUCGCCACCGGAGCGGCCGCCGCCGCCGAUCCGCAUCAUCCGCCAGCCCUUGGCGAGGCCGUGGAGGCGGCCCCAGCGGCCUCUGCCGCGAGUUUACCAAGUGGAACCCCGAGACUUCCGCUGGUUGGUGCAGAGGCUCACCAGCGCACCGCCGCCGUCUCCACCCGCUCCGCUGCCGCAGCCGCCUAUGGUCACUGACAGCGCCGUCCCUGUGAACCAGAAUACCGUGGCUGGAAGUAGGUUAGCAGAAUCCCCAUCGCCUUCACAGCAUCCGACACACGCAUCAUCGAGUUCUUCCUCCAUUUGGGACCCAAAAAUGAUGGAGUAACCAAAGGAGGACAGCACCGAGUAGAACAAAUUUCCCUAUAUAUAUCUCUUGGUCUUUGUAGAAAGAGCAUACAUAUUGAUACUCUUUUUUAGUGUUCGUAAAACAGUAUCUCUAAUAAAUCGAGAGGGGUGAGGGAACAAGUGAGGGGACUUGUACUUCAAUUUCUCUUGAUUCAAGAAAAGUUAUAAUUUAUUUGUAUAUGAUGAAAUAUUUGAAUUUUUUAUGGACGCAUUCAAAGAAUAUAUAUAUAUAUAUAUAUAUAUAUAUAUAUUAUACCGAAUAUUUCGUGUUGCACCUUAAAAAAGCUAGAAAGGUGGGGAUAUUCUCGUUAGGCCACUGCCUCGUGCCACUUUUCGGUAUGUCCUAUUAGCAUAAAAUCUGUAAUCAUGCUGUCUGUAAUGCGAAAAAACUUUUAAGCCAAGAUUGAAUUCAAAUAAAUUAGAUCUGACAAUAUUACGAUGCGUAUCUUUUUCUUGUUGUUUAGAAAAAUAAAUCUUAUCUGAUCUACAAACACUUCAACUUCGGAUCUGAAAUAUCAAUCUGCAAGGAUCUGCAAGGAAAACUAGAUCCUUAUUAAGGGAGAGGGAGAAAAACGAUGAUGCAUUACUCAGAUGCACACUUAACUCUUAGAGGUCCUGUCUAUCAGAUGUCCCCUUAGCCCCUAGAGGUCUUGUCUAUUUAUAGGCGAGAGUAGAGGGUCUAGGAUAAGUUAUUAGGAGAGUUCCUCCCAUCAAGGUUAUCUCCUAAGGAAUCCUAUUUUAACAUGGACUUCUUUUCUAUUGACCAAUAACCAUAAUCAGAAUCCAAUCAUAUCUAUAAUAUAUCUUACUUAAUUAAAUAGGAACACAUAAUCUUAUAUACUCGAUAGAAGCAAAUAUCAGAACAAAUUUCCCUAUAUAUAUCUCUUGGUCUUUGUAGAAAGAGCAUACAUAUUGAUACUCUUUUUUAGUGUUCGUAAAACAGUAUCUCUAAUAAAUCGAGAGGGGUGAGGGAAACAAGUGAGGGGACUUGUACUUCAAUUUCUCUUGAUUCAAGAAAAGUUAUAAUUUAUUUGUAUAUGAUGA